Molecule: microRNA, 19 nt
Filed under: Ovis aries (sheep)
Lineage: Eukaryota; Metazoa; Chordata; Mammalia; Artiodactyla; Bovidae
Description: microRNA miR-23b
Source: RNAcentral
AUCACAUUGCCAGGGAUUC